GCCAGGUGUGGUGGCUCAUGCCUGUAAUCCCAGCACUCUGGGAGGCUGAGGUGGGCGGAUCACCUGAGGUCAGGAGUUCAAGACCAGCCUGGCCAACAUGGUGAAACCCCAUCUCUA
RNAcentral lists this non-coding RNA (117 nucleotides) under Chlorocebus sabaeus (green monkey). Lineage: Eukaryota; Metazoa; Chordata; Mammalia; Primates; Cercopithecidae. The record is from Rfam by way of RNAcentral.